RNAcentral lists this transfer RNA (69 nucleotides) under Ictidomys tridecemlineatus (thirteen-lined ground squirrel). RNAcentral describes it as "Spermophilus tridecemlineatus (thirteen-lined ground squirrel) tRNA". It matches the Rfam family "tRNA". From Rfam's summary of the family: Transfer RNA (tRNA) molecules are approximately 80 nucleotides in length. Their secondary structure includes four short double-helical elements and three loops (D, anti-codon, and T loops). The record is from Rfam by way of RNAcentral. Lineage: Eukaryota; Metazoa; Chordata; Mammalia; Rodentia; Sciuridae.
GGAGCUGUAGCUGAUUGGUAAAGCACUUGCCUUGCAGGCGUGAGACACUGGGUUCAAUCCUCAGCACCA